RNAcentral lists this RNase P RNA (406 nucleotides) under Trichoderma harzianum. RNAcentral's name for it is "Hypocrea lixii Nuclear RNase P". It matches the Rfam family "Nuclear RNase P". From Rfam's summary of the family: Ribonuclease P (RNase P) is a ubiquitous endoribonuclease, found in archaea, bacteria and eukarya as well as chloroplasts and mitochondria. Its best characterised activity is the generation of mature 5'-ends of tRNAs by cleaving the 5'-leader elements of precursor-tRNAs. Cellular RNase Ps are ribonucleoproteins. The record is from Rfam by way of RNAcentral. Lineage: Eukaryota; Fungi; Ascomycota; Sordariomycetes; Hypocreales; Hypocreaceae.
GCCCUCAUCAACGCUGCGUUUCCAUGCUACAAACGGAGAGCCUGCGCAAGCAGCCUCUCGCAUCAUUUGCUCCUCGCAUGUGGGAAAUUCGGAGAAAGCUUCAAAGCAGGAGGAGCCUCUCUCGGGAGGCUGCCUCUUGUGCUCGGUUCCAACGUUUACCGUUGUGUUCUCGAGUCCGCCUGUGAUGGCCUGGCGUCACCCCGACGUCUGCAACAGACAUCAGAAAUCUCAGGCCCGGGAGGCCUCGUGUGUGUACCCUCUUUUGAGGGGAAGAUACGGUGGUUACUUUCUCGGUGCCUAUGGGAAGUCGUUGCGAAGCUUGUUGCGCAAACUUGAGUGCGAUAUGCAGCGUUUGUUUUGCUUCUGGCAAGAUGAAUCACACAAUUCCGAUCAUUCUGUUGAGGGC